GGGUUCCUAUGGGAGGCAGCAGUGGGGAAUAUUGGGCAAUGGGCGCAAGCCUGACCCAGCAACGCCGCGUGAAGGAAGAAGGCUUUCGGGUUGUAAACUUCUUUUGUCAGGGACGAAGCAAGUGACGGUACCUGACGAAUAAGCCACGGCUAACUACGUGCCAGCAGCCGCGGUAAUACGUAGGUGGCAAGCGUUAUCCGGAUUUAUUGGGUGUAAAGGGCGUGUAGGCGGGAAUGCAAGUCAGAUGUGAAAACCAUGGGCUCAACCUGUGGCCUGCAUUUGAAACUGUUUUUCUUGAGUACUGG
Molecule: ribosomal RNA, 305 nt
Filed under: uncultured bacterium
Lineage: Bacteria
Description: bacterial SSU rRNA
Rfam family: Bacterial small subunit ribosomal RNA
Source: RNAcentral